UGCAGUCGAGCGGUAGCACANGNANCUUGCUCCUGGGUGACAAGCGNCGGANAGGUGANUAAUGUCUGGGAAACUGCCUGAUGGAGGGGGANAANUACUGGAAACGGUANCUAAUACCGCAUAACGUCUACNGACCANANUGGGGGANCUUCUGGCCNCAUGCCCUCACAUGUGCCCANAUGGGAUUAGCUAGUAUGUGGGGUAAUGGCUCACCUANGCNACAAUCCCUANCUGGUCUGAGAGGANGACAANCCCCACUGGAACUGAGACACGGUCCCNACACNNACNGGAGGCGCCACUGGGGAAUAUUGCACAAUGGGCGCAAGCCUGAUGCACCCCUGCCCCGUGUGUGAAGAANGCGNUCNGGUUGUAAAGCACUUUCUNCGAGNANGAAAGGUUCNGUGUUAAUAGCACUGUGCAUUGACNUUUCUCGCACAAAAAACACCGGCUAACUCCGUGGCCNGCACCCCCGGUAAUACAGAGGGUGCANGCGUUAAUCGGAAUUNACUGGGCGUAAAGCGCACGCNCGNCGGUUUGUUAANUCUNAGAUGUGAAAUCCCCGCGCUUAACGUGGGAACUGCAUUUGAAACUGGCAAGCUAGAGUCUUGUAGAGGGGGGUAGAAUUCCAGGUGUAGCGGUGAAAUGCGUAGAGAUCUGGAGGAAUACCGGUGGCGAAGGCGGCNCCCUGGACAAAAGACUGACGNUCAGGUGCGAAAGCGUGGGGAGCAAACAGGAUUAGAUACCNUGGUAGUCCACGCUGUAAACGAUGUCGACUUGGAGGUUGUGCCCUUGAGGCGUGGCUUCCGGAGCUAACGCGUUAAGUCGACCGCCUGGGGAGUACGGCCGCAAGGUUAAAACUCAAAUGAAUUGACGGGGGCCCGCACAAGCGGUGGAGCAUGUGGUUUAAUUCGAUGCAACGCGAAGAACCUUACCUACUCUUGACAUCCAGAGAAUUCGCUAGAGAUAGCUUAGUGCCUUCGGGAACUCUGAGACAGGUGCUGCAUGGCUGUCGUCAGCUCGUGUUGUGAAAUGUUGGGUUAAGUCCCGCAACGAGCGCAACCCUUAUCCUUUGUUGCCAGCNNGUAAUGGCGGGAACUCAAAGGAGACUGCCGGUGAUAAACCGGAGGAAGGUGGGGAUGACGUCAAGUCAUCAUGGCCCUUACGAGUAGGGCUACACACGUGCUACAAUGGCGUAUACAAAGAGAAGCGAACUCGCGAGAGCAAGCGGACCUCAUAAAGUACGUCGUAGUCCGGAUCGGAGUCUGCAACUCGACUCCGUGAAGUCGGAAUCGCUAGUAAUCGUAGAUCAGAAUGCUACGGUGAAUACGUUCCCGGGCCUUGUACACACCGCCCGUCACACCAUGGGAGUGGGUUGCAAAAGAAGUAGGUAGCUUAACCUUCGGGAGGGCGCUACCA
Molecule: ribosomal RNA, 1416 nt
Filed under: Serratia sp. (in: enterobacteria)
Lineage: Bacteria; Pseudomonadati; Pseudomonadota; Gammaproteobacteria; Enterobacterales; Yersiniaceae
Description: partial 16S ribosomal RNA
Rfam family: Bacterial small subunit ribosomal RNA
Source: RNAcentral